This 438-nucleotide ribosomal RNA is filed under the name uncultured bacterium. RNAcentral's name for it is "bacterial SSU rRNA". It matches the Rfam family "Bacterial small subunit ribosomal RNA", at positions 954 to 1392 of the family's 1533-position model. The record is from RNAcentral.
GCUUAACGCGAAGAACCUUACCCACCUUUGACAUGUAUGGAAUCCUUUAGAGAUAGAGGAGUGCUCGAAAGAGAGCCGUAACACAGGUGCUGCAUGGCUGUCGUCAGCUCGUGUCGUGAGAUGUUGGGUUAAGUCCCGCAACGAGCGCAACCCUUGCCAUUAGUUGCUACAUUUAGUUGAGCACUCUAAUGGGACUGCCGGUGACAAACCGGAGGAAGGUGGGGAUGACGUCAAGUCCUCAUGGCCCUUAUAGGUGGGGCUACACACGUCAUACAAUGGCUGGUACAAAGGGUUGCCAACCCGCGAGGGGGAGCUAAUCCCAUAAAGCCAGUCGUAGUCCGGAUCGCAGUCUGCAACUCGACUGCGUGAAGUCGGAAUCGCUAGUAAUCGUGGAUCAGAAUGUCACGGUGAAUACGUUCCCGGGUCUUGUACACACCG